This is a small nucleolar RNA of Dipodomys ordii (Ord's kangaroo rat), 139 nucleotides long. Ensembl annotates it as predicted gene, 25835. The record is from Ensembl. NCBI's taxonomy places the organism in Eukaryota, Metazoa, Chordata, Mammalia, Rodentia, Heteromyidae.
GCUCUAUGAUGAAUCCCAUGCGUGUCAUCUGAGCCUAACUUCCCUGUUGUCUUGGGCCCUGUUAGUGUUCUACUUCCCAGGGCUGUCUGGCCUGUCAGGGAAUUUCUGGGCAAAGGAUCAGUCCUUAAAUUCUGAGAGC